AAGCUCGUGUUUCCUUUAACUGAGCGCAAGGGCAGGAGGAGAAAAAACAAGCCAAAGAACUACGUAGGCAGGCGAGAGUGUGCAAAGAACAAAGGCAAGGGAGACAAAGGGGACCCGGGAAAUGCAUCAGCACGGGGUGCAGGAGGCGGAGGCUGAGCUGGGGCAAGUGGAAAGAGAUCUCACUGUUGUUUUCCUUAGUUGCUGUGCGAUCCAGAAGAAGAGGUUUUAUUGUUCAUGUACACCACAAAUCAUCUUUUGGCCUUUGAAACUAAAAGUGCUGCACAGCUCUGAGGAUAUUUAAAUAUACCAGCAUAAGUGUCUCCUGAAAAGGAAGGAGAACAUUCCAGAGGCCAAAAUCCAGUUUAACAAGGAUCUUCCUGCAAAUUAACAAUGAAGGCAGCAUUAUGAAAAGGAGAGGAUACUUUACAACAGAAACCAAUUGUUUAGCCUCUGAAAUACCCACAACAGAGGAAUUGCUGAAGAUGACAACAUUAGCAGAGAUGGAAAAAUUGACUUUUUGAGUAGAGAAAGGACAAUAACUGCAUUUAUUAGUAACUGGAAAUGCCUAAUGGACUUUUUGCCUAAAAAUGAAUUUGAGAUUUAUGGUUUGAUAUCAGAAAGGGUAGAUUAUCAAAAGAAAGAAAUUAUGUUGUAAUGUUAGAGAGAAAGGGUAAAAUAUAAAAUGUAUAAAUGUACCUGUAACUUCUGUUAAGAACUUUGGAACCUGCUUUUUUUAUAAUAUCUCUUUUUCUCUCUUUCCCAUCUCUAUUUUGCACACACAUACACACACAAACACUAAUGAUAGCCACAUCAGAAAGAAGUAGUGUGAGAAGCUGUAGAAGUAAUAGGAAGGAGGAACUACAGAGGAUAUGAAAAGUGAAGGCCAAAAGCUAAGAUUGCUCAGAAUCAGGGGUGAAAUGCUACCGGUUUGGACCGGUUCUCCCGAACCGGUAGUAAUAAAAGCUACCGAUUCAGAAAAACCGGUAGUAAAAAAAUGCUACCAGUUCAGAUGAACCGGUAUUUCUGAUGAUCAGUUGUGCCGCACAAUUUAUUUUUGCUAGAAAGCUGAAAACAUACAUUUAUAUAUCUCUAGUAUUGCUCUAAAUCAGCAUUUUUUCAAAAUUGACUAUUUUAAGAAUCUUGGACAUCAACUCCCAAAAUUUUCCAGGUAGAAUGCUAGCUGGGGAAUUCUGGGAGUUGAAGUACAUACAUCUUAAAAAUUGGUAAGUUUGAAAAAUAUUGUUCUAAAUUGUCGACAGCUGAUUAUUUGGUAAGUUUAUUUUACAGCUGCAACAUGGUAGCUAUCUAUAGCUCAGCCCAAUGUUUCUAUUCUCACUCUUACCUAGCUCUUCAACAUGUUCUGACAAGUCAUUCUUAGCAUUGAGAUUUCUGAUUUAAAAACAAAAAGUGAGUCACUCUAUGAUUCCUUUCAUUAAAUCUUUUUAAACAACUUAUUUUUAAAAUGUAAUUUUGGUUUGAAUAUUUAACUGGAAAAGGGAGGUGAUUUAACUUUUUUGUUUAAGUGAGAUUGAUUUUAUUUGCCUGCUUGGCAUGUGUAUUACAUGGAAAUUUUCAUAGAGAUAAAAGAAAAUGUUGGAAAAGAGGCUAUUGUUCUUUUUUUGAAAAAGUUAGGAUUAUUACAGAUUCAGGAAAAAAAAUAUUAGCAGCAGAGUCUCCAAUCCCCUUCUUCCUGCCACAGAAUUGCGGCGAUGAUGCCAAUUUAUUAAAAAACAAAACAAAAAACAGGAGAGAGAGAGAGAGAUCUCCAGCAUUACUCUUUCAUGUUUGAUUUUUCAUGGAUCAUCUGCAUUUUACUUGACAAAUUUAUCUUUUCUCAUUCUGCAGGCAUGUUAGUGUAAGUUAUUAUGGUACUCUACUUUGAAGACUGUAUUAACUUCCUGAUUCUAUAAAACAAUGUGGUACAGCUGGUUCAAAUAACACUGUUACACAAUUUAUAUGUUUAAUAAGAAAGGCAAUGUUAAGAUGUUUUGUUUUAAUGCAGAAGGAAAAGUUUUUAAAUGAUAAUUAUAUUUUAAGCACUAAUUAUAAGUGGAUUAUAUUUUCCCAGCAUACAAAACAAA
This is a long non-coding RNA of Pantherophis guttatus, 2081 nucleotides long. RefSeq lists it as uncharacterized. NCBI's taxonomy places the organism in Eukaryota, Metazoa, Chordata, Lepidosauria, Squamata, Colubridae. The record is from RefSeq and is a predicted model, not a curated record.